RNAcentral lists this long non-coding RNA (942 nucleotides) under Sarcophilus harrisii (Tasmanian devil). Its description in RNAcentral is "lncRNA (ENSSHAG00000029087.1)". The record is from RNAcentral. Lineage: Eukaryota; Metazoa; Chordata; Mammalia; Dasyuromorphia; Dasyuridae.
CUGUUAGAGAGAUGAGUAAAAAAAGGGACAAGAACAGAAAACAGAUCAAGCAUGCAUAAUCUAUGGAAGAGGACAUCCAUCUUAUUCAAGGGAUGCUCAGAAUAGCUCUCAGCAGAACUGGAGGCUGAAGAACAAUACACCUUGAAUCAUGAGAUUUUGGAUUCUCUGAGUCAGCCCUAGAGUGCCAGGUUCAGUGAUGACCCAGAUUCAAAUCUCACCUAUACUGCUGAUUAUCUGUGUGGUAUCAGAAUUGUCUACACGAGCAAUCAUGAGGCAGCUUGAUAGGAGGACUGUGGUCUAUUGUCCUCAGGCUGUAUGGAAACUGUGUCACAACAUCUGGGAAGAAGAUGGACAUUUAAUGAAACAAAUGAAUUCCAUUUGUUUCUGAAGAAAAAACCAGAACUAAACAAAAAAUUUGAUCUCCAAGAAUAGAACUCAAGAGAUGCAGAAAAGGAUGAUUUCAGAAAGGCCUGGAGAGACUUACAUGAACUGAUGCUGAAUGAAAUGAGCAGAACCAGGAGAUCAUUAUAUGCUUCAAUAACAAUACUAUAUAAUGACCAGUUCUGAUGGACCUGGCCAUCCUCAGCAAUGAGAUCAACCAAAUCAUUUCCAAUGGAGCAGUAAUGAACUGAACCAGCUACGCCCAGAGAAAGAACUCUGGGAGAUGACUAAAAACCAUUACAUUGAAUUCCCAAUCCCUAUAUUUAUGCCCACCUGCAUUUUUGAUUUCCUUCACAAGCUAAUUGUACAAUAUUUCAGAGUCUGAUUCUUUUUGUACAGCAAAAUAACGGUUUGGUCAUGUAUACUUAUUGUGUAUCUAAUUUAUAUUUUAAUAUAUUUAAUAUCUACUGGUCAUCCUGCUAUCUGGGGGAGGGGGUGGGGGGUAAGAGGUGAAAAAUUGGAACAAGAGGUUUGGCAAUUGUUAAUGCUGUAAAGUUACCC